This is a long non-coding RNA of Passer domesticus (house sparrow), 832 nucleotides long. RefSeq lists it as uncharacterized. The transcript is spliced from 3 exons. NCBI's taxonomy places the organism in Eukaryota, Metazoa, Chordata, Aves, Passeriformes, Passeridae. The record is from RefSeq and is a predicted model, not a curated record.
GAAUUAUAAAUAUGUCUGGAGAGGUGACGUCCUAACAAAUGAGAUGAGAGCAGAGCUCCUGUGACUCCUGUCGUCAUCACAAUCCCUGGGUGGGUGCAGAACCUUGGAUACAAUUCCACAGCUUUUGCUGAGGGUGACUUUGUGGCUUUUUAAAAAGUUUAAAUAAAGAAUUAAAGGCACUAGAUUUGAUUUCUCUUCAUCACAUUUGCACUGGAAUUGUCCACAGAGCCAGUUCUGCAAGCCACAUGCUGGCCUGAGUCUUGGGAGGCCAAAGCUGUAUUUCCUUCCCCCCAAACAGACUUCCUAUAGGAGACAGGAAUGUCCUACAGCACCUCUGUCCAGGAUCAUCUCCUCUAGAUAACUCUGCAGGCCAGACGUACAUUAAGCACUGAUUCCAGCAUCCAAGGGCCCAGUCGCUUCCCAGGCACGGGAUGGAGGGUAAAAAUGUAAAGAAUUCCAGAUAAACACAUUUGGAAAGCCACUUAAAGCUACUGGACAGAUGAAGGCGAGGAAGGCAGGGGAAUAUUUUUGCAGUGAACAGACAAAGAGGGACAUUGCUCAUCUGUCAAAGCGUGUGAGCUGCUCUGCUUUUCCAGACGUUGAGUUUUGGGAACUUUCAAACACCAAUGAGUAAGGAAAGGAGCCUUGAAAAGAGCAGGGAGGCCACAGGGGAGGUGGAGGACGUGGAUCAGCUCUACAGGAAGGCUUGCCUGGCAGCUGGCACUGCUUUAAUCCCAUUGGUCUGACAGAUUUUGGGGGAUACUCAUCACGAGUGGGAAUAAGACUCCCACUGCACAGAGGAACAAGCACUUUCUGUACCACACAGCCAAGA